CCCACACACUCUCUCUCUCUCUCUCUCUAUAGACAAUUCGAAAAUCUCUUCACUGUCUCCCAUCUCAGCCAAAACCCAUCUCAGUCUCCAAACCUCGCUGCAACAACCAUCUCACCAAAUACUCCCACCUCUUCUCUGCCAAAUACGUCCCUUUCAACCAUCUCACCAAACCUCCGACGAGUCCUACUCCGUCGACGAAAUCGUGCACCGCUAAACGUCUAGCAUGAUAUCGCCGCUCUCGAAAUCAUGUAGCUAUAGCUCCAGAGAGAGCCAUUGGCCCAAUCAGACGAGCAAAAGGAGGUUGGACUGCACAGGAGGUGGUGAACGAUCUGAAGGGUAUCUUAUGCAAUUUUAUUCUUUCAAGCCAAGUGGGUAUUGAGAGAGGAGAAUUGUCUAGUAGUGAUGAGAAAAAAUAUAAAGCAGUGAAGUGGGCAACUGAAAGGGAGAUUUCUCAAAGUGCUGAUGUCAUUUGUUGCACGUGUUGGUGCUGGAGAUCCUUGAUUGGCAAAUUUUAGGUUCCACCAGAUUGAAAUGCAUCUAACUUGUGAAAGUUUGUCCAGGACUCACUAGUUUAAAAGCUUACUCAUUUUAACUUUUUGUUUUGAGAAAGCACCGACAAAAGUCAACAGUAAAAUCUUGCAUUUUUCGAAAAAACGUAGGCUUGCGACUAGCUACUACUGAAUUUUAUUUCUACUUGCUGCCAUGCUAAGCGAAGGACGAGUUUAGAAGUUGUUUGCAAAUCCCAAUAAUAGCAGAGUGCAUAGUUUGGAAGUUAAGGGAAAAAAGGUAUCGAUUUGUGUGUUGCUUUGUAUUGAGGGUAAUGGCAAAGAAAGCUUAGUUGCUGAAGGACUUUUAAGGUUGAAGUGGAAGCAAUUUGGUGAUUGCUGAAAGAGCUUAUAGGUGUUUUGAUUGUCCCACCUUGCACGUUAGAGGUUUUGCCUUGUGUUUUCAUAUUUUUAUUUUAACUUUAAUAUCAUUGCUUUCAUGUCUA
This is a long non-coding RNA of Quercus lobata, 991 nucleotides long. RefSeq lists it as uncharacterized. The record is from RefSeq and is a predicted model, not a curated record. NCBI's taxonomy places the organism in Eukaryota, Viridiplantae, Streptophyta, Magnoliopsida, Fagales, Fagaceae. The transcript has 3 exons.